Molecule: unclassified non-coding RNA, 3621 nt
Filed under: Hevea brasiliensis (rubber tree)
Lineage: Eukaryota; Viridiplantae; Streptophyta; Magnoliopsida; Malpighiales; Euphorbiaceae
Source: RNAcentral
UAAUAUAAAUAAUUAAACAUGAUUUUUAUAAUAUAUUAUUAUGAAUUUGAUGAACUAUAAAUUUAUACUUACAUGGCACUGCAGUUAACGAACAAAUAUGAUAUCGCUAUGCUACAUACAACAGAUAGAUAUACAGAACUCACCAAACAAAAAUAAAAAGCUAGAAAUUCUGAUUGCUCUUGACAAAGAACAUAUCAAUGGAUGGAUAACUGCCUUCCUUCGGAGAUGGCUUGUGCUUUUUACGUGUGCUUCGGCCGGACGUACAAGCCUUCUGGGCAAACCUUUGCCUCUGAAUAGAAGUUCUUGAGUUGACGCUAGAUUCCUUUUCCUGAAGCCUCUCAGCAAGAUGAAAAUCAGAGUGUUCUCGUCUUUCCUCGACAAAAUCUGGUGGCAUUUCAAUCCCACAUAAUGAACAUUUGCAGUCAUCUUCCUUAAAACAAUGAUAUUGCCAAUCAGGUGAGAAGACUGCCUCAUUGCCCGUGAUGACCUCUUUGUUUACUAAGUUUGUGUUGCUCGCAUAAAGCUUCUGAGGCAAAGAAGUUUCAGCAUCCUUCGAUUCGAACACUACAGUGUGACAAGAGUUGAAGUUACACUCUACUGUAUCUGCAGUAUUAACAUUCUCUGCAAUGUCGUUGCUUAAAGAUUCAUGAGCUUCCUCUGCUUCAAUGUUAUUACUAAAUGUGCAAUGGUGAUCUUCCAGAUCCUGUUUAUUAGUGCUGUCCCAUGGAUCUCUAGUUUCAUAAUGAUUAAUGUCAUGGCUAUCGGUAGAGAAAGAAGUUUCCAAGUCAUCCAUCAAGGGUUCAUCACUACAAUAUGAACCCAAGGAGCUUCGACCACCCAUAGUUUUCCGAGAUGCAUCUCCUGAUAGAACAAAGUUGGUAAGAGUUCUUUGUGUUGGAUCAGAUGGAGCACCUGCCUUGUCUUCAUUGAAAUGAGAAACCCGCAAUCCUAUCAGUCUUAAAGAAAUAGGAAGUUCAGCCUUUAGCAGCUUUGAAGCAUAUUUCAAUAUUUCUUCACUUGAACAAAUAUAUUUUUGCAAGGUAACAGCUCUGCUUCGAACCUAAAGAAUAAGAAAUGUGAACAAACUUCAGAACAUGAAUGGCACAUUAAUGAUAACUGCAAAGAGAAGACUAGGAUGGAGUUGGAAUAAGAAACUACACGAAGAAAUGUACUGGAGAUAACCACUGUCUGUUGCAAAGGAAAAGGUCUCAUUCCAUUCCUGAUCAAAGAAGAAAUGGGUUUAAGUUUUUGGGGCAGCCAUUUAUUUUAAAAUGCUGAGUGUCAAGGCCACCUCCAAGGCACUCAACCCUGUUUUUCCAGGUUCAACAGUAGGCAAUGCCUCUUUUUUGUAUAUAUAGAAGUAGGAGCACCCUCCUUACUUCCAUCCCAGCCCAAGUCCCAACUCCCAACCCCAAUUCUUCCCCAGGCAGAUGAUAAGAGGAGAAGGGUCACAGAAUAGCAGAGAAUCGCAUAAGAAUUAGGGAUGUGCAUUAUUUGGUUAAAACUGGACCAAACCAACAAAACUCAAUCAUUUCGGUACAAGGUUUUAGAUUCAGAUUAGUCAGUAAUUUCUUAAAUAUUGGUUUGCUAUUAUGCUUUAUUUCAAAAAGGGCAUCGAAAUAACUGUUUUUAAUUUAUCAAUAUAUAGAUAACAAUGUUAAAAAUUAUAAAAUAUUUAUAAGGACUUUUUACUAAUAAUAUAUAAUCUUCAUAUUUUAUAUUAGGUUUGGUUAAGUUUGUUAUCAAAUCUGAUUCGGUUAACAAAAUGUUCACUCCUACCAAAAUCAUUGAUUUAAACCUUCCAAUUUGUCCUCGAGUAUUUUUUAGAAAACACCAGCAAUAAAGUAUCAGAACUACCUCAAAAGAUGCAGUUUUCAAUUUGAGAGUCAGUGUCCGACCACGAAGACCUUCUUUUUGCAUGUCCCUACAUAGCAUCUCUGCUAUAUCAGCUGCAACUUGAAGGAAUUUUGGUUACUUUUCUAUACCUUUGAAUGUUAGGCAAAACCUAAGUGGAAGAAUUUAUUAGCAUUGAUGCCAAAAAUAUAUUAUUACUACAUAUCACAAAGCAAUACUUAACAAAAAUCUGAUGUGUAGCAAAGCUGAAGAGAAGUAACCACUCUCAAAGCAUUAGACAACUAUAAACUCACCAAAUGAUUAAAAUAAAUAAUCUGCAAUCGCUUACCUAGUUUCUGAUAAAGAAGUGCUUCAUCAUUUGUGGCAGAAAAUGUUCUCUCACUACUAAUACUUUUACGAAACUUGACUUGAGGGGUAUCUGUCCUCCCAAGCCCUAGUCCCACAGAAAGAAAAAAAUCUGCAAUAAAUUAGCAACAAAAGCAUGAACUGAUGAAAAAUGUCUCCCAAUUCCUUAUGCCAUUUGUAUAACAUUGUCAUUUCAAAUGCAGAAAUUGCAUUCACCACACUGCACAUGCAGCCCGAACAGUAGCCAUUUGUUUCUAAACACCUGUGAUCCUUUUUAUUUUUCUGUAUUGAUUGUUGCUAUUAUCUCAAGGCUAUUCUCAUUGUUAUCUUACUACCUUCACAUGACAUAUUUCAUAGGAUUUCAGUGUGCCCAAAAAAAAUGCACUAACCUGCUGUAGAGUGAGAAAAUAGCGCGCAGAGGAAUCCACCCUUCUGCAGUAUCUCCUCACAUGUAUUAAUGCCUAAAACAUCCCUCAAAAUAUGUUCAGUGACCUUACCAAUGCCUCCAAUCUUCCUUAUAGGAAGUGAUGAUAUAAAUGUCAUGACAGCCAUCCGAUCAUUUGGUAAAACAAACUGUCCAUUGGGCUUAUUUAUAUCUGAGCAAACCUUUGCAAGUAAACGAUUUGGAGCCACUCCAGCACUACAUGUUAGACCAGUCUCCUCAUAGACUCUGGUUCUGAGUUCUUCAGCAACUUCUCCACCAGCAACGCCCCUUUCUUUGCACACACUAGUUAUAUCAAGAUACGCCUCAUCCAAACUAGCAGCCAUGAAAUGUGGAUCAUAUUUCUGGAAAACUUUUCUAGUUAAAUCACUGUAAUGAGUGUAUUUGUUGAAGUCUGUGGGAACAAAAAUUAAAUCUGGACAUAAUUUACGUGCAAUGAAUCCAGGCAUUGCAGCACGAACCCCAAAUUUCCUUGCCUCAUAAUUGGCAGUGGAGAUCAUGGACAUACUUCCAACAGCCAUUGGCUUGCCAGUUAACGAAGGGUCGCUUAAUGUUUCAACAGCUGCAUAGAAAGCAUCCAUAUCCACAUGUAGCCAAAUCCUUGAAAGAUCACGUGUGGAUUCUAGUUCUAAAAUUCUUUUAUCAGCCACCAUCUGGUAAUGAGAUACAUCAGCUGCUUUGAGCUUGGCACACUGGGCACGCAUGGUCUCAAUUUUCUGCCUCAUAUAGGCCUCCUUCCUUUCCUCAUUCUCAAAAUACUUUGAUCCUUUGCUCAUCUCAUACACUAUUCUCUGAACUUUCUCUUUGUCCACUCCCUCCAUACCUGCUUUAGCGUUAGUGUAAACAGUGUGAUAAGAUUGCCAUGGCCUAGGAUUUUCUCCUGAAGACGUAAUUUCACUCUUCUCCAUCUCUGACUCUAGCUGCUGGCUCUGAUUCAAAUACUUGCUCCACAAGGAGGAGGGAAAGUGCAAAUGGUGAAU